ACACACCGUCCGUCACACUAUGGGAGCUGGCCAUGCCUGAAGUCGUUACCUUAACCACAAGGAGGGGGAUGCCGAAGGCAAGGCUUGGUGACUGGAGUGAAGUCGUAACAAGGUAGCCGUACUGGAAGGUGCGGCUGGAUCACCUCCUUUUCAGG
RNAcentral lists this ribosomal RNA (155 nucleotides) under Oenothera glazioviana. RNAcentral's name for it is "partial 16S ribosomal RNA". It matches the Rfam family "Bacterial small subunit ribosomal RNA", at positions 1385 to 1533 of the family's 1533-position model. Lineage: Eukaryota; Viridiplantae; Streptophyta; Magnoliopsida; Myrtales; Onagraceae. The record is from RNAcentral.